GCCCUGCUCAACGCUCCCCCCCCCCCCAAUCCCCAACCACAUCUGAGGCCUGCCCAGCCUCUCCAGCCCUGCUCAUCCCACCCUCCCAGCUCCCACUCCAAACACUCCUGGGGACUGCUAUCCCUCUGGCCUUUCCUGUCCCACCCCCCCUAGCUUCUUCACCACCAAACACACGGGAGAACUGCUCCCCCUUCCCCCCAUGGCCCUGCUCAGCCUGCCUUCCCUCCCCACACCCCUGCUCCCCAAACACCCCUGGGGGCUACCCGUCCUUCCUUCCUCCCCUUGCUCAUCCCACCUGGCUGUACCCUGUACCCACAAAUGCUCCAGGGGGAUGCCCUGGUCCUCCUGCCCUGCUAAAACCCACCUGCCUAGCUCCACACCCCCAAACAUCUCUGGGGGCUACCCUCUCCCCCAGCCCUGCUUGUCCCACCUGGCUCUGCCCUGUACCCCCAAAUGCUCCAGGGGGGUGCCCUGGCCCCUCCUGCCCUGCUAAAACCCACCUGCCUAGCUCCACACCCCCAAACACCUCUGGGGGCUGCCCUGCUUGUUCCACCUGGCUGUGCCCCCCAUCCCAAACACACCUGGGGGCUAUUCGGGUGCUGCUCAAUCCACCUAGCUGGCUGUGCCCUCAGUUAACUGCUGCCCAGCCCCCCCCUCCUUCCAAACACACACGUAACUGGGCCUGUCCUUCCCCACCUUCUGCCCAGCCCCCAUACCCCAAACAAUCUCUGCCAGCUGCUAGGCCUUGCCUGACACUCAUCCGGGACUGCUUCUUAUCCACAUUCCAAGGAGUGUCUUGUUCUCGACCCAGCUCAGACAAGUGACCUGAUUUUAAAAGUCACUUUCUGAAUAACGAGGCGCUUUGUCCUUGCUCCCAUCACCACAGAUAAAGGGCACCUUAUCUGCCUUCUCCUUGAUAAGAUGGCGCUUUCCGGAUUACUGGGGAAAGUGUUUAGGUGAAUUUAGUGCUGGUGUAUGGUGCUGAAUUAUGUGACCUUCAACUGAGACAUGAAAGAUGCUGGAUUGGAAGCUCUGGAGACUGAAGCUUCCUAUUUACUACAGAACAGCAACUUCCUGCUGUGUGAAUCAACGGGCUGAAUUUUGAGAAGCAUCAUGUUCCAUCUGGGGCUCUGUGGACAGCCUUCUAUUCCUGGAUCCAUCCCAAAAGCUCAAGU
This is a long non-coding RNA of Mauremys mutica (yellowpond turtle), 1175 nucleotides long. RefSeq lists it as uncharacterized. Lineage: Eukaryota; Metazoa; Chordata; Testudines; Geoemydidae. The transcript is spliced from 3 exons. The record is from RefSeq and is a predicted model, not a curated record.